UAUGAAGAAAACUUUGUCCAGUUCUGCUACUGAAUGAAAGUGGUGAUAACGA
RNAcentral lists this small nucleolar RNA (52 nucleotides) under Xyrichtys novacula (pearly razorfish). Lineage: Eukaryota; Metazoa; Chordata; Actinopteri; Labriformes; Labridae. The record is from RNAcentral.